AGUGAACGCUGGCGGUAGGCCUAACACAUGCAAGUCGAACGGCAGCACAGUAAGAGCUUGCUCUUACGGGUGGCGAGUGGCGGACGGGUGAGGAAUACAUCGGAAUCUACUUUUUCGUGGGGGAUAACGUAGGGAAACUUACGCUAAUACCGCAUACGACCUACGGGUGAAAGCAGGGGAUCUUCGGACCUUGCGCGAUUGAAUGAGCCGAUGUCGGAUUAGCUGGUUGGCGGGGUAAAGGCCCACCAAGGCGACGAUCCGUAGCUGGUCUGAGAGGAUGAUCAGCCACACUGGAACUGAGACACGGUCCAGACUCCUACGGGAGGCAACAGUGGGGAAUAUUGGACAAUGGGCGCAAGCCUGAUCCAGCCAUACCGCGUGGGUGAAGAAGGCCUUCGGGUUGUAAAGCCCUUUUGUUGGGAAAGAAAAGCAGCAGGUUAAUACCCCGCUGUUCUGACGGUACCCAAAGAAUAAGCACCGGCUAACUUCGUG
RNAcentral lists this ribosomal RNA (492 nucleotides) under uncultured bacterium. RNAcentral describes it as "partial 16S ribosomal RNA". It matches the Rfam family "Bacterial small subunit ribosomal RNA", at positions 29 to 507 of the family's 1533-position model. The record is from RNAcentral.